This 440-nucleotide ribosomal RNA is filed under the name uncultured bacterium. RNAcentral's name for it is "partial 16S ribosomal RNA". It matches the Rfam family "Bacterial small subunit ribosomal RNA", at positions 338 to 795 of the family's 1533-position model. The record is from RNAcentral.
CCUACGGGUGGCAGCAGUGGGGGAUAUUGCACAAUGGGGGAAACCCUGAUGCAGCGACGCCGCGUGUGGGAAGACGGUCCUCCGGAUUGUAAACCACUGUCCACAGGGACGAAGAUGACGGUACCUGGGGAGGAAGCUCCGGCUAACCACGUGCCAGCAGCCGCGGCAAUACGUAGGGAGCGAGCGUUGUCCGGAAGUACUGGGUGAAAAGGGAGCGUAGUCGUGACUGCAAGUUGGGUGUAAAAUCUACCGGCUCAACCGGUAGCCGCACUCAAAACUGCAGUUCUUGAGUGAAGUAGAGGCAGGCGGAAUUCCUGGUGUAGCGGUGAAAUGCGUAGAGAUUAGGAGGAACACUAGUGGCGAAGGCGGCCUGCUGGGCUUUUACUGACGCUGAGGUUCGAAAGUGUGGGGAGCAAACAGGAUUAGAUACCCCAGUAGUC